This 484-nucleotide ribosomal RNA is filed under the name uncultured bacterium. Its description in RNAcentral is "partial 16S ribosomal RNA". It matches the Rfam family "Bacterial small subunit ribosomal RNA", at positions 28 to 523 of the family's 1533-position model. The record is from RNAcentral.
GACGAACGCUGGCGGCGUGCUUAACACAUGCAAGUCGAACGAUGAACCCGGAGCUUGCUCCGGCGGAUUAGUGGCGAACGGGUGAGUAACACGUGAGUAACCUGCCCUUGACUCUGGGAUAACUGCUAGAAAUGGUAGCUAAUACCGGAUACGACCCUCGGUGGCAUCACCAGGGGGUGGAAAGAAUUUCGGUCAAGGAUGGACUCGCGGCCUAUCAGCUAGUUGGUGAGGUAACGGCUCACCAAGGCGACGACGGGUAGCCGGCCUGAGAGGGUGACCGGCCACACUGGGACUGAGACACGGCCCAGACUCCUACGGGAGGCAGCAGUGGGGAAUAUUGCACAAUGGGCGCAAGCCUGAUGCAGCGACGCCGCGUGAGGGAUAACGGCCUUCGGGUUGUAAACCUCUUUCAGCACCGACGAAGCGCAAGUGACGGUAGGUGCAGAAGAAGGACCGGCCAACUACGUGCCAGCCGCCGCGGUAA